UAAUCCAGAUCCCAAUCCAGGUUCUAAUCCAGAUCCCAAUACAGAUCCAAAUACAGAUCCCAAUACAGAUCCCAAUACAGAUCCCAAUCCAGGUUCUAAUACAGAUCCCAAUACAGAUCCCAAUACAGAUCCCAAUCCAGGUUCUAAUACAGAUCCCAAUACAGAUCCCAAUCCAGGUUCUAAUACAGAUCCCAAUACAGAUCCCAAUACAGAUCCCAAUACAGAUUCUAAUCCAGAUCCCAAUCCAGGUUCUAAUCCAGAUCCCAAUCCAGAUCCAAAUACAGAUCCCAAUACAGAUCCCAAUACAGAUCCCAAUCCAGGUUCUAAUACAGAUCCCAAUACAGAUCCCAAUCCAGAUCCCAAUCCAGGUUCUAAUACAGAUCCCAAUACAGAUCCCAAUACAGAUCCCAAUACAGAUUCUAAUCCAGAUCCCAAUCCAGGUUCUAAUCCAGAUCCCAUUACAGAUCCAAAUACAGAUCCCAAUACAGAUCCCAAUACAGAUCCCAAUCCAGGUUCUAAUACAGAUCCCAAUACAGAUCCCAAUCCAGGUUCUAAUACAGAUCCCAAUACAGAUCCCAAUCCAGGUUCUAAUACAGAUCCCAAUACAGAUCCCAAUACAGAUCCCAAUACAGAUUCUAAUCCAGAUCCCAAUCCAGGUUCUAAUACAGAUCCCAAUACAGAUUCUAAUCCAGAUCCCAAUCCAGGUUCUAAUCCAGAUCCCAAUACAGAUCCAAAUACAGAUCCCAAUACAGAUCCCAAUCCAGGUUCUAAUACAGAUCCCAAUCCAGGUUCUAAUACAGAUCCCAAUCCAGGUUCUAAUACAGAUCCCAAUCCAGGUUCUAAUACAGAUCCCAAUCCAGGUUCUAAUACAGAUCCCAAUCCAGGUUCUAAUACAGAUCCCAAUCCAGGUUCUAAUACAGAUCCCAAUCCAGGUUCUAAUACAGAUCCCAAUCCAGGUUCUAAUACAGAUCCCAAUCCAGAUUCUAAUCCAGAUCCCAAUCCUGUGAUCCUAGAGGAAGUACAUUGGAAAAAGUAUUUUUUUAAUAAAAAAAAAAAAAGGUCUUAAAAAAAAAAAAAC
RNAcentral lists this long non-coding RNA (1078 nucleotides) under Oncorhynchus mykiss (rainbow trout). Its description in RNAcentral is "lncRNA (ENSOMYG00000068285.1)". The record is from RNAcentral. Lineage: Eukaryota; Metazoa; Chordata; Actinopteri; Salmoniformes; Salmonidae.